AGUGAACGCUGGCGGUAGGCCUAACACAUGCAAGUCGAACGGCAGCACAGUAAGAGCUUGCUCUUACGGGUGGCGAGUGGCGGACGGGUGAGGAAUACAGCGGAAUCUACUUUUUCGUGGGGGAUAACGUAGGGAAACUUACGCUAAUACCGCAUACGACCUACGGGUGAAAGCAGGGGAUCUUCGGACCUUGCGCGAGUGAAUGAGCCGAUGUCGGAUUGGCUAGUUGGCGGGGUAAAGGCCCACCAAGGCGACGAUCCGUAGCUGGUCUGAGAGGAUGAUCAGCCAAACUGGAACUGAGACACGGUCCAGACUCCUACGGGAGGCAGCAGUGGGGAAUAUUGGACAAUGGGCGCAAGCCUGAUCCAGCCAUACCGCGUGGGUGAAGAAGGCCUUCGGGUUGUAAAGCCCUUUUGUUGGGAAAGAAAAGCAGCAGGUUAAUACCCCGCUGUUCUGACGGUACCCAAAGAAUAAGCACCGGCUAACUUCGUG
Molecule: ribosomal RNA, 492 nt
Filed under: uncultured bacterium
Lineage: Bacteria
Description: partial 16S ribosomal RNA
Rfam family: Bacterial small subunit ribosomal RNA
Source: RNAcentral